Long non-coding RNA from Oxyura jamaicensis (ruddy duck), 297 nucleotides. RefSeq lists it as uncharacterized. Lineage: Eukaryota; Metazoa; Chordata; Aves; Anseriformes; Anatidae. The record is from RefSeq and is a predicted model, not a curated record. The transcript has 3 exons.
GGCGGACCGUAUCUAGUCAUCAGUGUAAAACCACCACAAAAGAACAGGGUUGCUUCAGAGACAGCUGUUGCUGUUUUCCUAUGAGAGAAGAAGACAGGACUGCUUGUGCAAUGUCCAUCAUCUUGGGUUACAAGGUCACAAAGAUGGAGAGUCAGAAUCAUACAUUUAUGAGCAACCUUAGUUGCUCAUAUGACUGCUGCUCUCUUCCUGUCUGCAGGCUCUGAUCUUACUCAGGGUAGAUUUAUCAAGUUGGUAUCAGGAGAAAAAAAAAAGAUGUGGUGCUUUUACCCAGCUGGG